GUAGUUCACUGGUAGAAUGCUUGCCUAACAUGCAUGAGGACCUGAGUUCAAUCCCCAGC
RNAcentral lists this transfer RNA (59 nucleotides) under Marmota marmota marmota (Alpine marmot). It matches the Rfam family "tRNA", at positions 7 to 64 of the family's 71-position model. From Rfam's summary of the family: Transfer RNA (tRNA) molecules are approximately 80 nucleotides in length. The record is from Rfam by way of RNAcentral. Lineage: Eukaryota; Metazoa; Chordata; Mammalia; Rodentia; Sciuridae. RNAcentral also lists the same sequence under 3 other names.